This 10123-nucleotide long non-coding RNA is filed under the name Cricetulus griseus (Chinese hamster). RNAcentral's name for it is "lncRNA (ENSCGRG00015041586.1)". Lineage: Eukaryota; Metazoa; Chordata; Mammalia; Rodentia; Cricetidae. The record is from RNAcentral.
CUCUCUUGCUCUUCCUCUUCCUCCUGCUCUCUGCUCUCUCUGGAGCCACCAUGUGAUCCCGGGAAGAGGACACCAGCUGAAAGCAUCCUCGAAGAUAAGUCUUAUAAAAAAUAAUAUAGAUUUAUGAUAAUUAAGACUGAGCUAGCAUAUAAGAAAUCCUAGUCAAUUGGCCAGCAGCACUGUUAACUAAUAUAAGACUCUGUGUUUUUCUGGGUUCCCAUGUGGCAGCAGGGCUCAGGCGGAUGCAGUAAAGAUUUAUCAUUACACUAUCCCUUUUGAUUUUUCUUACACUUAGUUCUUGUAUUCCUAAGUGUUAGCAGCUUCUGUUAUUUAUCUUUGUGUAUGCAGACACUUGCUAAGGUUUUACAACAGAAAUAGUUUUCAAGCUGCAUUAUCAGUUUCUUCAGUGGGACUUCAUUCUCCUCACACUGUCCUGGAUGCCCAUUCAGAAACUAUGUUUCUGCAUACCUCACAUUCUUUGAAAAUGGCAAUGUCACUUUCAGUUCUGUCUGCAGUGUGUUUGUGUCAGGGCUGGUAACAGGGCUUCACGCUGCACACAGGUCCCGCUCUUCUCACAGUUAAUGCUUGCUCCUAUGUCUUUCGAAGAUCCAACUACUAAUUCCUCUUCACACAUUUCCUAUAGACUGAAAAUUUCAGGUAUGAAUAGGCUCAGACAUCAGGGAUUUUAUCUUUUUGAUUCAGUUUGGACGGUUGGUUUCCAGGAAUUCUGAGCAAUUGCCAUCUUGAAUUUCUAAGAUGGCAACUCCAGAUGUUUCCUUCUGGUUUCUUUCUUUUUCAAAAAAAUUUCUUUUAUGUGUUUCUUCAUUUUCUCUCAGAUUGGCUCAUUUAUUCUCUGUUGUUCUUGUGGGUUUUUCCACUUUAAAUUUUGUAGUUGUCAAUUUAUAGGCAUCUGGGGUUCAAGGCAACAUAAAAUAAGAAUUUUACUUGCAUGUACUAGAUUCUAGUAACUAAACUAAUAUACCAAAUUUACAACUGAGUUGGCUGAUUUUAGGGUAAUUGCACACAAGCUAGAGUCAUUUGGGAAGAGACUCCCAUUUUAGAAAAUGACUCCAUGAGAUACUGCUAUAGGGUAUUUUCUUAAUUAGUGAUUGAUGUAGACAGUCCAUUCCAUUGUGGGUUGUGUUAUCCCUGAACUGGUGGUCCUGGAUUGUGCAAGAAAGCAGGCUGAACAAGCCAGUAAGCAGCACUUCUCCUUGGUUUCUGCAUUAGUUCUUGGCCUCAGGUUCCUGCCGUCUCAAUGGACUACAUGUGAUCCAGGACAUAUAAGCCUCCCCAAAUUGCUUUUUGUGAAACGUUCCCCUCUGACCCACCAGCCAGCUCCCAAAUUAUGACAUGGAGACCACCCAUCAAUAAUGAAAUCUCGGCCUAUAGCUCAGGUCUGUUGCUUACCAGCUCCAACACCUCAAAUUAACCCAUUCACAUUAAUCCAUAUUCUUUCCCAUGGUGCUACCUCACCUUCAUCUUGCACCUCCACUUUCCUCUCUGUGUUUCCUGGCAUCUGGAUUCCUUCUCCUCUUCCUUUCUCUCCCAGGAAAUUCUGCCUCUACCUCCUGCCUAGCUAUUGGCCCCUCAGCUUUUUCUUAUAGCAAUCACAGCAAAUACAGCUUCACACAAUGUGCAAAUACCCCACGACAGCUUUUGGUCAUGGCUUUUUAUUACAACCACAUAAACCUAUCUAAAACAACAGUAGUCUAGAAAGUCCCCCUGUGAUUCAUGGUUAAAAUAUCUUAAAAUACUUCAGCUCCUUCAUGGAACCUUCAGUAAAUUAGGAGGAAGGCCAGAGAGAUUUAGAUAGAAGCUAAAUGCUAGUUUUUCAGAAAAGUCUGCCUCACUCAUUCUCUGAUACAGGACUUUUAAGACGUCCGGACUUCCUCUUUGUACACAGUGAGCCUUUUAAGUGUUCUUUUUCUCAGUACAGCAAAAUUAUUUAGGACAUUGUGAAAUAACGGUGAGAUAGUAAUCAUCUAUAUUGGCACAAUGUCUUCUAUGUAGAAAAGCCUGCCAAGUGCUUGCAACUUGAAGGGAAUUGUUGUUGGUAACUGAAAAGUGUCUUUCUGAAAUGUGAUUUUACCAUCCGAGGUAACAUUUUAAAGAAAGGGGCUCUUCUUAGUGAACUGUGAAGAAACCAAGGACUGUGACCCACUGGAAUCUUUCCUGUAGAAUGUCGUCAAAAUUCUACUGGACAGCCGAGUUGGGUUUCCUGUGUUGCCUUAUGGCUGCAAGCCAUCACCGAAUUAUAGAUAGCUAGAGCAUUCAUGCCCUUGGAGAUGGCAUUUGUCAUGUGAUUCUCGGAGGGAGUUCCUUGAAGACUUCCCAAAGGUUAAAGGUAUAAAUAAAUAAAUAAAUAAAUAAAUAAAAAGAAUUUGACAUAAAAUUAACUUGAUUGUUUACAGUUUCUAAAUGGGCUAAAAUAUGCUGAAAAAUGAAUAAAAUGACAGGAAGUGUGUGGCUCCUCAAGGCUGUUAAUACAAACGAACAGGGAACUAGACUUGAGAAUAAUAUAAAUAUUGCCCUUAACUGGACAGUAAAUUUUACUAGAUGUAACUUAUCACCUCUAUAAAGGCAUUCAAGAUAAUUACUUCAUGCACAUUUCUGACUUUUAGAAAUUAUAAGAUAACCCCAAAACAUCAAGCCAGGUAAGGCUGCAGAAGCAAAUACACGAUUUUCUAGGCCAGUGUUUAAAUUCUAAACACAGUGGCACCCUUUACUUGGCAGUCAGAGUCCUGGUCACGCAGUCCAAACCCACAGCUGGGAGCCAGAACAUAAACACAGAGCCUCCUCCAAGUGUUCACGGUCCACGUGAGAAAGCCAGAGCUUUGUUGUUGGUAGAGACAGCAACCUUCAUGCUUAGCAGAUAGUCGAUUGCACAAGUGUUUAUCAUAACAGAAAGCCUGCUUUAUUAGGCAAAGUCUCCUUGCUGCUAUAAGAUGGAAAGAUGAAACUUGCUGAACUUCAUUUUCUUCAGUAUACUGAGUUUCUCUUGGGUCAAAUAAAAUCUAUCACAUCAUUUUAAAAUUCGGCAUUAAUUGAGAAGCUAAAAGUAUGUUAAAUGUGGAUCAGAACUGGUAGAUAACAACUUUGGUAACAGAAGGCAAUUCAUUCAUUGAACAAACAUUUUCUUGGGUUCAUGCCAUGCCUGCUGAGCUUUCUAAGAGGAUACAGCAGUGGACAAAAUCUUUGUCUUUGUGAAACUUGUUCUGUGACAUAGUAGAGAGAGGCGACAAUAGACAUAGUAAAUGAAUUGGUGUAAUGGCAGAAACCAGGGCAUGGUAGAAGGCAAGAAGCGACACAGGAGCAGCUCCGGGUUGAACAUAGUUUUUGCUUCUGUUCUGCAGACAUGAGAAGUUGUUGCUGGCUAGAGUGAGACAGAACCACAGUGCCAUGGCCACGUGCUGAUGGUGUGCAUAUUGUGGCCAUUGCCAGGACCCAUGCUUUCACCUGGAGUUUGAUGAGAAGGCCAUGGCAGGUUUUGAGUUGACACACCAGAGAAAAUUCAGCAUGGAUUCUAUGUGAAGAAGGCUUGGUAAAAAGAUCACUGUCAGCUGGACAAAGGAGACCCCUGUAGGGAGAAAGCAUGAUUAGACGUACCGCUGAACUGAACCAUAUUCCUGGAAUCCAGUUGUGGAGAAGGAGGAGGGAUGAGCAAAGGAGCCAAGAUGGUGCUGCAGAAACCCACAGAAACAGUUGUCCUGACCUAAUGAAAGCAUGGAGACCCUAGUCGCAAAGCUGAGGAAACAGCAUUGGACUGAACCAAGCCCUCUGAAUGUGGGUGUCAGCUAGGAGGUCAAGAUAGUCUAUGGGACCUCUAACAGUGGAGCCAGUCUUUAACCCUGGAGCACAAAUGGACUUUCGGAGCCCAUUCCCUAUGGAGGGAUACUACUGCAGCCCAGAUACAGCAAGGAGGGCCCAGGACCUUCCCCAAAUGAUAUGACAGACUUUGAAGGUCCCUGGUGGAGGACCUUACUAUCUCUGGGGAUGAGUUGGGGGAUGGGUUGGGAGGGGUUGGUGGGGAACUUGGGAGGAUGGGAGGGCGAGGGAAUGUGGGAGAUGGAUAUAUAAAUAUGAGUAGUAAUUAAAGAAAUUAAAUUAAAAAGAGAAGUACCGCUGACCAUGCCUGCUUAGGGAUGGACACAGGUGCUGCUGAGCACGCCCACUUGGGCGUGGUCAGAGGGACGUGGGAAAGGUUUAAGAAUGAGGGGCGCCCAUGUGGAGCCCCUUCUUCCCUUGCUCCCUGCCGACUGGCUAGGCAGAUCUGUGAGUACCAUUUAUUAAUAAAAUAUCUGUUAUCUAUCUGAUCUGACUCCAGGUUUAAUCUCACAAGAGACCCAGUCUAGAGGGGGUCUGGGAUAGGACUGUGACUUCUGAGUCCUAAGUCCUUCAUGUUCAUUUCUCUAGACUAUGACAUGAGAGAAUGGCUUCACUCUGAUGCCUGCCAGGUUAGGGCCUCACAGCUGCCUGUGGUGAACACAGAAAAUCUCACACAAUUUUCUUCAGGAUUCAAGACAGUUGGCUUCAGUGGACACGGUUGUGGAGGAAUCUCGGCUUCUUCUAGCAAUGGCCACAGUUCUGACAUCGUUCGUACCAGGCCUUCCCCUGCCACUGUCCUGGUGGGGAGAAAAGGGGAGGCUGCUGGCAGGGUAGGAGUGGGCAUUGUGCGUGGGCACUCUGGGGGUGGAAUGCAGUGUUUUCUGUGUUGUUUUGUAAAAUAUGACAACUGUAACUUUCUGAUCUUGCUAUGGGACCCUGUCUUGGUUCUUUGGUUGAAACACAUUGGAAUUGUACAACUGGCGGCUUCUUCAGUUCUAAGUGCAUGACACAUGCAACAAAACUGAACAAGCUAGGGUCCUGCGCAUUGGCUCCAUCCUCAGUCCUAAACUGCUUAGCCAGGCUGUGCUUUUGACCUUCCAGAGUGUUUUUUGUUUGUGAGUUAGUUUGUUUGUUUUUCUUUUAUAUAUAAUAUUGAAGGUUUUAGUUGUAGUUAAAGUAAACAUAGGAAAAAGUAUGUAUUCCAUCAUCCAUAGGGGAAGGAAACUUACUUAUCAUUUUGAAAAUAAUAAUAAAGAACAAUAAUCUUGAGACAGAAUUUCAUAUGGUAUUCCAGGCGAGCCUUAACCUCUUAGUGACUGUUCUGCUUCAGACCCCUCAGUGAAAGGACCAGAUGUUCACCACCAUACCCUGCUUAAAAUGUAAAAUAUUUGUUUAACCAAAUAUUUAAAUAAAAUUCAGGAGACUGGAGAGAUGGCUCAGUGGUUAAGAGCACAGGCUGCUCUUCCAGAAGUCCCAGGUUCAGUUCUUACCACCCACAAAGUGGCUCACAACAGCCUGUACUUCCAGGGAAUCCAGGGCCUUCUCUGGUCUCCGUAGGCACUGCAUACAAGGACAUACAUGCAGGCAAAGUACCUCUACAUAUGAAAAUAAAUCCUUAAAAAAUGAAACGGAAAGACUGAGGGAAACAUAUAAUUACCUCCAUCUCACUUUUGCACAAUUCCAGUUUCUUCUCAUAGAAAGAACACCUCGUUCCUAGCUAGUGUGGAGUUUAUUAUCAUUCUAUUAAGUAAUAUUUUCUCUAUUACUUUGCAGAUGUUAUCUUUAAGCAUUAUCAUUAAACAUUACACAAGGAAAUCAUCUCAUGUUCACUGUCUGUCCUCUCAGUAUUGCGUUCAUGUCAUCAAAGCCAGGUUGCCUAUGCAAUUUUGAUUUGGUUCCCAUUGCCAUUGUCUAGUUCUUCUUUCUUCUACCACAUCCUCUCUCCCCAUCUAGCAACAUCAGACAGCUACAUUCCACUUUAACCUCUCCCUUGCCCAGCAUUGUAUAUGUUCCUUGUAUGUGGUACUGUUACAUAUGGACAACUAUAUAUUAUCAGUUGAGUGUAAUCCUCCCAGUACCUCCCCAAUCAGUCCUCUUUAUCACCCUAGUCAAUUUCACUUCUACUUUUGGGUCAAAUGUGCAUUCUUGAUUUUAUAUAAAGAUAUAAAGAUAGAGAACAACAUUACAGAGAAAACAUAUUUGUCUUUCUGAAAUUUUGAUUAUACACAGUUGCACCCACUCUCCUGCAAAUGACAACUUUGUUCUUUAAGGCUGAAAAACUCCAUUGUGUAUGAGUACUCAGUCCUCUACCAUUGCCUCUUAGGUUGAUGCCACAGCCUUACGAUUGUGUAGUAAACACCAGUGUUCAUGGGUCUCUGAGAUGCAUUGACUUGAAGCCAUUUGGGUAAAUAUCAAGAAAUGGGACACUGGUAAAUAUGGUAUGUCUAUCUUUAGUCUUUUGAGGAACUUGCUUUCUUUUUUUCCCCGUUUUUUAUUUGAAUUAGAAAAAAGAUUGUUUUACAUGUCAAUCCCAGGUCCCUCUCCCUCCCCUACCACUCCCCCAACUAAAACCCUACCUAUCACAUACCCUUUCUGCUUCCCAGGGAGGGUGAGGCCUUCCAUAGGGGGUUUUCAGAGCCUGGCAUGUCCUUUGCGAUACGGCCUAGGCCCACCCCCGUGUGUCUUAGUAUCCCUCUAUGUAGAAUGAGCUCCCAAAGUCCAUACCUAUGCUAGGGAAAAGUACUGAUCUACUACAGGAGGCCCCAUGGAUUUCUGAGGUCUCCUCACUGACACCCAUGUUCCUGGGGUCUGGAUCAGUCUCAUGCUGGUUUCCCAGCUAUCAGCCUGGGGAGCAAGAGCUCCCUGAUGUUCAGGUCAGCUGUUUCUGUGGGUUUCACCAGCCUCGUCUGGAGUCCUUUGCUCAUCAGUCCUCCUUCUCUGCAACUUGAUUCCAGUUCAGUUCAGUGAUUAGCUGUGGGUGUCUGUUUCUACCUCCACCAGCUGCUGGAUUAGGGCUAUCGGGUGGCAUAUAAAUCAGUCAUCAAUCUCAUUAUCAGGGAGGGCAUUUAAGGUAACCUCUCCUCUGUUGCUUAGAUUGUUAGCUGGUGUCAUCUUUAUAGAUUUCCAGACAUUUCCCUAGUGCCUGAUUUCUCUGUGAACCUAAAAUGUCUCCCUUUAUUAUGGUAUCUCUCAUGGGAACACUCUUCCACUGCUGGUGGGAGUGCCAAUUCGUACAGCCACUUUGGAAAUCAGUAUGUCAACUCCUCAGGAAAAUAGGAAUCUGUCUACCACAAGAUCCAGCAAUUCCACUAUUAGGCACAUACCCAAAAGAAGCACAUUCAUAUAACAAAGACAUCUGUUCAACGAUGUUCAUAGAAGCAUUAUUUGUAAUAGCCAGAACCUAGAAGCAUCCUAGAUGCCCCUCAACUGAAGAAUGGAUAGAGAAAAUGUGGUACAUUUACACAAUGGAGUACUACUCAGCAGAAAAAAAAAAAAAAAACAAUGGAAUCUUGAAAUUCUCAGGCAAAUGGAUAGAACUAGAAGAAACCAUUCUGAGUGAGGUAACCCAGGCACAAAAAGACAAACAUGGUAUGCACUCACUCAUAUAUGGAUUUUAGACAUAGAACAAAGGAUUACCAGCCCACAAUCCACACUACCAGAGAGGCUAGGAAACAAGGAGGAUUCUAAGAGAGACAUACAUGGUCCCCUGGAGAAGAGGGGAAGGGACAAGAUCUCCUGAGCAAAUUGGGAGCAUGUGGGGAGGAAAGAAGGGCUAGGAUAAUGAGAAGGGGAGAAGAGGAAGGGUGAGGAGGACAUGAGGGAGCAGGAAGGUUGAGUGGGGGAAGAAUAGAGGAACUUGCUUUCUGAUUUGCAUAGUGGCUAGACUAGUUUGUAUUCCUACUAGCAGUGUAGGAUGGUUGAUUUGUGUCCACAUCCUAAUCAACAUUCGUUUCCUUAAUGUCUGCUGUCCCAAUGGAGGUGAGAUGGAAUGUCAAUGCAAUUUUAAUUCCUAUUUGUCUGAUUAUCUCCCACCUAAUUUUUAUAGUCUUAUUUUACAAAUCAUUGGAGCUGAAGAGAUGACUCAACCAUUAUACUGCUCUUCCAGAGGACCCAAAUUUAGUUUCUAGCACCCUCCCUAGGCAGCUUACAACUACCUGUAACUACAGUUCCAGGGGAUACAAUGCUUUCUUUGGGUUUCCACUGACACCUAAGCACAUAUGCACAUACCCUCUCCACAUGUCUUAGUUAGAGUUUCUCUUGCUGUGAUGAAACAUCAUGUGGGGGAGGUGUUAUUUGGCUUUUAUUUUUUACACAUUAAGUUCAUCAUCAAAGGAAGUCAGGACAGGAACUCAAGCAAGGCAGGAGCAGAUGCAAAAGCCAUGGAGGAGAGUUGCUUACUGGCUUGCUUCCUGGGGCCUUAUCAGCCUGCUUAACUGAGGACCACCAGCCCAGAAUUGGUACCACCACAAAGGGCUGGGCCCUUGCCCUAAAGGUUUGCCUACAGCCCAAUUUUUUUUUGUUUUUUUUUUUUUUGGUUUUUCAAGACAGGGUUUCUCUGUGGCUUUGGAGGCUGUCCUGGAACUAGCUCUUGUAGACCAGGCUGGUCUCGAACUCACAGAGAUCCACAUACCUGUGCCUCCUGAGUUCUGGGAUUGAAGGCGUAUGCCACCAAUGCCUGGCCAGCCCAAUUUUAUGGAGACAUUUUCUCAGUUGAGGUUCCCUCCUCUCUGACAACUCUGGCUUGUGUCAAGUUGACAUAAAACUAGCCAGCACAUUCCAUAGACACAUUAUUAAAAGUAAAAUAGAUCUUGAUAUUACAAAGAUAUACGCUCCUUAUUUCUCAGUUUGGCCCUCAGUAUCCUCAUCUAAGUCCCCAAGACCAUUGACUGUCAAGCUCUGCUCUACAGAUGCUAAAUGCUUUUCAGCACAAAGACACAUUUCAGUGUUGUCAGGAGAUGGCCUGUCUUAGCAUGUGUAUCAGUAUUAAUUAAUCACAAUGCCUUUCAGUAAUUUUUUUUCAGGGAAGAAGCAUGGAGCCAAGGCUUAGAUAGAUACUCGCCAUCUUUUUUCUCUCAUCAAAUUAUGUUUUUUUGUAAGCAGAGGGGAAGAUGAAAUUUGAGAUAAGAUGAGUGAAUGCAGCUUUCUGAUCUUUCUUUUCUCUUCAAUGGCUGGGAAAAAUGAAGGAAGAGAAGAUUUUGUUUCAUUUUGGAUGUUUUAUUUGUUAGAUCAAAUGGAUGGCCUUAUCCCAACGUCUGCAUUCCCCAUGUGUUUAAUGAGUUCAGAUGAAAGAAAAACAGAUGCACACAUGACUUUACAAAGAGAAAGCUCACAUAAGACAACCUGUGUGACAGGCACAUGAACAUGAACUAAAAUGUGUAGAGUAAAAUUCAGGCGUGACUUGGAACUUCAGGCAGUUGCAGGGGCCUUACAUGUUGGUAAAACACUUUUUCCUCUAGCUACAUGAAGUCACUCAAAAAUUUCCAAGAAAUGGUGGAAUAUUUAAUUUUACUUAGAAAAUUGCUACCUGUUGAAACUUGCCUUAUCAAGUUAUAAUAAAUGUAUGAAGAACUGAAUUAUUUCAUAUGCACAAGCUUAUGAUUUGUGCAUGUACAAACAGUGCUAAUACCACCACCACAAUCACCAACACCUCUCUCUGAACAUUCCUUAGUUCCACUGAAGAACACUUGGCAUCUACUUUCCUAACAGUUUCGAAGUACACAAUAUGAUAGUUAUUAAGUUAUAUAGCUCUGCUGAAUUUAUUGUUAUAUAGCAAUUUCUUCUGAAAAAUAUCCUUCACUUUGGAAGGAAGCCUGUUAAGAUGAAGCUUUCCAUCCUGUGAAGAAUCUCCUUGAGCUCCUUAAACUCAGCUCAAAAGCUUCAGGAAGUCCUUGAAACUGACCAGCUCCACCAGCUCCCUCCCACCCCAAGAGUAUGUAAGUGGUAAGAACUGCUGAGAGACACUCUCAGACAGGACACCCUGAGAAGUUCAGAUCAGCUGAGCUGCCUGGAAAAGGCAGAGGCUGCCAGGGCCACCUGAAGAGUUGGAGACCAACUGAGCCACCUGGAAGAGAUGGGAGACCAAGUGAGCCACCUGGAAGAGGAUAAGGCUUAGCUCUCCUGAAUUGCUUGAAAGAGAUACUCUCUAAUGUGUUAAGCUGCCUGCAAGUUGUGCACUGUGUUUCAAGUUUUCAGUUGUUAUCCAUACUGGGGUAGGCAUUUGGUGAUGUGGCUGGCUAUCUCCUAUAAAUAACCCCGUGUGUAGAUUCUUGUAUGUAACCCCAAUAAAACCCAUUGG